RNAcentral lists this long non-coding RNA (377 nucleotides) under Calidris pugnax (ruff). Its description in RNAcentral is "lncRNA (ENSCPUG00000012316.1)". The record is from RNAcentral. Lineage: Eukaryota; Metazoa; Chordata; Aves; Charadriiformes; Scolopacidae.
GCCACAAGCAGUGGCCAUCAGAUAAAUGACCAUCAUUGAGCCCAAGUGCCUGUUCCACCACACCUGGAACGAGUUACGGAUCCCAAUUACUCCAGCCAAGACCAGAGCGGUGCGUUUGGGAGAGGAAUUCCCACAUGGCAACGUGUUUCAUGACUCACGAAACAUCUGAUACCGGAACGUAGAGGUCGCCUUUGUCUUUUUCAGUGGUUGCAACAAGGAUCCUUAAGAGACGGGACCAGCCAUCAGCUGUAGAAGAUUUUCAUUGUGGGAAAUGAAAGGAGCCUGGAGCAUCUCCCUGAUGAGGAAAGGCUGAGGGACUUGGGGCUUUUGAGUGUGGAGAAAAGAAGACUCAGGGGGGACCUGAUCAAGGCCUAUAA